UACCAAUUAGUGGUUUGGUUUUCAAGUUUCUGCAUAAAAUUUCUGUCCUUCACUGAUUUAACUGAGAAUUAUAUGCUAAUUGAAUAUGUUAAUUAGUUUUUGAACUUCAUGUUUCAGCUUUAUGAUAUUUUCUUCUAAUGAUGAAAGCUGACUUUGGAGGCGUUGAACAUGUAUUCUUAUGAGUGUGCAGUUCCUUCGACGUGCAAAGAUUACGGGGAAGAAAGUCAUGGCUGGUGUUAUCUUUUCAAGCCCUCUGGACGCAACACUCAGGCGGCGGCGUUCAGACCGAAGUUAGCUCUAGAGCUUGGGAUUCAUUGCUCAAAAGAAAUUUCUAUAGUCUUAAGUUGAGUGUUUUGUGUUUAUAACAAACUCCAGUUAUGGAGAUCAUUGUGAAAGUGCAUUGCUUUAGUGUUGUUUUCUGCUGUCUACAUACCUUACUUACAUCUUACAUAAUCUCUGUUUCAAGGACAAUGAUGCAUGUGGUGAAGAUCUUGAAGCUGUUGGCGGCAAUCUCUACCUUCAAGAUUGCUCUUUUUUUGGCUGCAGUUACUCUGCAAGCUCAUACAUGGUUGAUACUGAUAUACUUUGUAGUGUCUACUAAUGGUUGGAAUCAGGAUAAUGCAGUUUCCUACCUUUUCUCAAGAAGCAAUUGUCUUGCAGCAUGUACUUCACCACUCUCUUUUUUCUUAUGUUGAUAAUGAUGAAUUUUUUACUAAUCUGUUUUAGCUGUAUUGCAGCUUAUUGCAGAGUAUUCAAUCUUUCCAUGUUUGAAUCAUCAUGUAAAUACACUUUCUUGAAUUAAAAAAAAACCAAAUUCUUAAUCAAAAUCAUCCUUGAGUUAUAAUUUAAAUGCAGUUCAUGAUUAGUUGUAUUUUUUAUUCUAAUUCUUAAGUGAUUUUUGCAAGAGCGUUAACUCUUCUUUCAUAUUAUAUGAGCAACAUUAUCAAAGUAUUAUAUAUGUCAUUGCUGGCACUUGCAUUCUCAGUUUGGGAAGUUGCCUCUUUUAUACCCAUGGUCCAGGCUAAAAUCAUACCCUUAUGAGUUAACAGCUGGGUUAUACAGUUCUAAUGGUCAUGACAUGUCGACCAUACGAGGCAACCUCAGAGAUCUUUGCAAAUCAAUAAAAUUUCUCAAUUUAGAAAACCUUCCUUAACAAGUUAGGGUUUAGGAUUGAUUUAAAUAAGAUAAUAUAUAUAAAGAUUAGUGAAUCAUGAAUAUAUUCAAUUAGGGUUUACAAUAUAUUUCAAUACUAAAAAAAUAAGAUAAGUGAAUAACUUAAUCAUAAUUAAUUUUUAAUUAAUUCUUUGUUCAAUAUUUUCACCAUUAUUUGUAUCUAUGUAUUUAUUAAUAUUAAAUAUUCAUCUAAAAUAUUUUUAAUUAUUCUAAAAUUAACAUAUAAUAUUUUAAUAUUUAUUAAAAUAUUACAAAAUUCAACUACCAUAAAGAAACAAAUUAAAUAUUAAAAGUGUUAAAAUUCUUAAAAAUCAUAUAUGUCAAUAUAAAAUAGAAAUAAGAUUUUUAUAUAUUAUAGUUACAAAAUUAUAAGAUGAAAAUUAUAAAUUUAUAAGCUGUUUAGAGCCUUUGAUUAAAUCAGUAAAUCACAUUACAAAGACUUUUUUCAAAUUGUUACCUCGAGUCUAUUAAUAAUUUAAUAUAUCGUUUGAUUUGUCCAUCGUUUGUUUAUAGUGUUAUAUGAAAUAAAUGUGUGUAAAGAUCAAGGUUAGAGCAUCACCAAUCAAUGCAGUGAUUUUUUUUUACAAUUUUUUAAAAAAAUUCUAAUUUACUUCUCGCUAUUCCACCGUCUAAAGGUUAAGAAUAGUGAAAAUAUGUUUCUACUUCAACAUACAAACGAUAUUCCAAUACCAAUGACUAAUAUAUCUGCAUGUGUGUAAUGAAAUCUAUUCAAAGUACUUUUAUGUAGUAACUAACUAAAAAUGGAAUCGUUCGUAUUGAAAUCUACUACAGAUUUCACAUUUUCAUAAUAAAUAAUUUUACAAAUAAAAAAUGCCAAACAGUUUUAAUAUUAAAAAUAAAUGAUGGCUUCAAAGCUUAAAUAAUUACUAAAUCAUUUUCAUGGGUCAUCAAUAUUUACAGAUUUCAAUAUUCAAAAUUAUUACACAUUUAUAAAAUUAUAUAUUUAUAUGAAGCAAAGGUUAUUUAACUAUACUUCAAAUAAUAAUUUAAAAAAUCAAACAGAUGAUCUAUAAGAAAAUAUAUAAUAUACAUUAGAUAAUAGAAGACGUUUAUAUUUUAUUAAAUGUAGAGUAUUUUAAAUUUUAAGAAAGAAUAAAAUAUGAUUAUUAAAAGAUUAAUAGAAACAUCUAAUAUGUUUAAGAUAAUAUAUAUAUUAAAAUAGAAAGUGAUGAUAUUUCUAAAAAAAAUAAUCUUUCAAAAAAAAUGAUAUAAUAGAAACAUUAAAAAACCUUUUAAAAAAAUCUAAGGUUUAAGUUAUAUUUAAUAUUAAAAUUAUAUAAAUUUUAUA
Long non-coding RNA from Brassica rapa (field mustard), 2482 nucleotides. RefSeq lists it as uncharacterized. Lineage: Eukaryota; Viridiplantae; Streptophyta; Magnoliopsida; Brassicales; Brassicaceae. The record is from RefSeq and is a predicted model, not a curated record.